Beta vulgaris subsp. vulgaris (sugar beet) is the source of this 868-nucleotide long non-coding RNA. RefSeq lists it as uncharacterized. The transcript has 2 exons. The record is from RefSeq and is a predicted model, not a curated record. NCBI's taxonomy places the organism in Eukaryota, Viridiplantae, Streptophyta, Magnoliopsida, Caryophyllales, Amaranthaceae.
GUUAGUUAUCGGUCAUUCGAUCAAUAAAUCGGAGAAUAAACAGUUCUCUUCCUGUAUGUGCAAUUGCGCAUGGGCGCGACUAUGUUGAUGCUGGGGUAUAUUAUUGAUGCAUACACAUAUCAAACAUACUUUCUCAAGAUUCUACUUAAUUUGAAGAAAAAAAAUUGUUAUCUCUGACUUAAUCUCGUAGUUAUUGUACCCGUGUCUCUUUCUAGACUAAUAUUGCAUACUUAUAUACCAGUAAAUUAAUUUUGUCCUAGAUUUGAUUUAUGAAAUAGGAUUGCUUAUAGCUUACUUGUAUACAAGUUUGAGUAUAUUUUAUAAGUUUGCUUCUUUCUUCCAACAAUAGUUUAUCAGAGACUGUAAUACUAGUUGUUCUCUCCUCUACGCAAUUUGGUAGUACAUGAAACCCAACUAUGAUUACUUUAACGUUAGAAAAGCUAGCUACUAUUUUGAAGAUCUCAUUAACGAACAUAGGUGUCAUAUUUAUUUUGUGCAUACCCAUUAAAAAUUUGCUGGAUCCCGUCUCUAAAGUUGUGCAACAUUGCUUUAAAGUGCAGUGGACGAUUGAACGCUUGAAUUCUUAAGUACAUGUUCAUUAAACACAGUGCUCUAACAACUGGGCUUUCAUGGAGGUGGAGAGCUAGGAGAAGAAUAAAAAAUCAGAUAAUUCAGAGAUGAACAAUGCAAUACAGGUACAAUAGAACAGUGUGGUGUAAUUGAGCUUUUUUGUAUUAAAUAUGACACAAAAUUGAUUGCAAAUAUUAGGGUUAAUAAAUGUUGUUGAACAAUGCAAUACAGGUACAAUAGAACAGUGUGGUGUAAUUGGACUUUUUUGUAUUAAAUAUGGCACAAGAUUGAUUGCAAA